UUAAGUUAGAAAGGGCGCACGGUGGAUGCCUUGACACUAGGAGUCGAUGAAGGACGGGACUAACGCCGAUAUGCUUCGGGGAGCUGUAAGUAAGCUUUGAUCCGAAGAUUUCCGAAUGGGGAAACCCACCAUACGUAAUGGUAUGGUAUCCUUAUCUGAAUACAUAGGGUAAGGAAGACAGACCCAGGGAACUGAAACAUCUAAGUACCUGGAGGAAGAGAAAGCAAAUGCGAUUUCCUGAGUAGCGGCGAGCGAAACGGAACAUAGCCCAAACCAAGAGGCUUGCCUCUUGGGGUUGUAGGACAUUCUAUACGGAGUUACAAAGGAACGAGGUAGACGAAGCGACCUGGAAAGGUCCGUCGUAGAGGGUAACAACCCCGUAGUCGAAACUUCGUUCUCUCUUGAAUGUAUCCUGAGUACGGCGGAACACGUGAAAUUCCGUCGGAAUCUGGGAGGACCAUCUCCCAAGGCUAAAUACUCCCUAGUGAUCGAUAGUGAACCAGUACCGUGAGGGAAAGGUGAAAAGCACCCCGGAAGGGGAGUGAAAGAGAUCCUGAAACCGUGUGCCUACAAAUAGUCAGAGCCCGUUAACGGGUGAUGGCGUGCCUUUUGUAGAAUGAACCGGCGAGUUACGAUCCCGUGCGAGGUUAAGCUGAAGAGGCGGAGCCGCAGCGAAAGCGAGUCUGAAUAGGGCGUUUAGUACGUGGUCGUAGACCCGAAACCAGGUGAUCUACCCAUGUCCAGGGUGAAGUUCAGGUAACACUGAAUGGAGGCCCGAACCCACGCACGUUGAAAAGUGCGGGGAUGAGGUGUGGGUAGCGGAGAAAUUCCAAUCGAACCUGGAGAUAGCUGGUUCUCCCCGAAAUAGCUUUAGGGCUAGCCUUAAGUGUAAGAGUCUUGGAGGUAGAGCACUGAUUGGACUAGGGGUCCUCAUCGGAUUACCGAAUUCAGUCAAACUCCGAAUGCCAAUGACUUAUCCUUAGGAGUCAGACUGCGAGUGAUAAGAUCCGUAGUCAAAAGGGAAACAGCCCAGACCGCCAGCUAAGGUCCCAAAGUGUGUAUUAAGUGGAAAAGGAUGUGGAGUUGCUUAGACAACUAGGAUGUUGGCUUAGAAGCAGCCACCAUUUAAAGAGUGCGUAAUAGCUCACUAGUCGAGUGACUCUGCGCCGAAAAUGUACCGGGGCUAAAUACACCACCGAAGCUGCGGAUUGAUACCGAAUGGUAUCAGUGGUAGGGGAGCGUUCUAAGGACAGUGAAGUCAGACCGGAAGGACUGGUGGAGUGCUUAGAAGUGAGAAUGCCGGUAUGAGUAGCGAAAGACGGGUGAGAAUCCCGUCCACCGAAUGCCUAAGGUUUCCUGAGGAAGGCUCGUCCGCUCAGGGUUAGUCAGGACCUAAGCCGAGGCCGACAGGCGUAGGCGAUGGACAACAGGUUGAUAUUCCUGUACCACCUCUUUAUCGUUUGAGCAAUGGAGGGACGCAGAAGGAUAGAAGAAGCGUGCGAUUGGUUGUGCACGUCCAAGCAGUUAGGCUGAUAAGUAGGCAAAUCCGCUUAUCGUAAAGGCUGAGCUGUGAUGGGGAAGCUCCUUAUGGAGCGAAGUCUUUGAUUCCCCGCUGCCAAGAAAAGCUUCUAGCGAGAUAAAAGGUGCCUGUACCGCAAACCGACACAGGUAGGCGAGGAGAGAAUCCUAAGGUGUGCGAGAGAACUCUGGUUAAGGAACUCGGCAAAAUGACCCCGUAACUUCGGGAGAAGGGGUGCUUUCUUAACGGAAAGCCGCAGUGAAUAGGCCCAAGCGACUGUUUAGCAAAAACACAGCUCUCUGCGAAGCCGUAAGGCGAAGUAUAGGGGGUGACACCUGCCCGGUGCUGGAAGGUUAAGGAGAGGGGUUAGCGUAAGCGAAGCUCUGAACUGAAGCCCCAGUAAACGGCGGCCGUAACUAUAACGGUCCUAAGGUAGCGAAAUUCCUUGUCGGGUAAGUUCCGACCCGCACGAAAGGUGUAACGAUUUGGGCACUGUCUCAACCAGAGACUCGGUGAAAUUAUAGUACCUGUGAAGAUGCAGGUUACCCGCGACAGGACGGAAAGACCCCGUGGAGCUUUACUGUAGCCUGAUAUUGAAUUUUGGUACAGUUUGUACAGGAUAGGCGGGAGCCUUUGAAACCGGAGCGCUAGCUUCGGUGGAGGCGCUGGUGGGAUACCGCCCUGACUGUAUUGAAAUUCUAACCUACGGGUCUUAUCGACCCGGGAGACAGUGUCAGGUGGGCAGUUUGACUGGGGCGGUCGCCUCCUAAAGUGUAACGGAGGCGCCCAAAGGUUCCCUCAGAAUGGUUGGAAAUCAUUCGUAGAGUGCAAAGGCAUAAGGGAGCUUGACUGCGAGACCUACAAGUCGAGCAGGGACGAAAGUCGGGCUUAGUGAUCCGGUGGUUCCGCAUGGAAGGGCCAUCGCUCAACGGAUAAAAGCUACCCCGGGGAUAACAGGCUUAUCUCCCCCAAGAGUCCACAUCGACGGGGAGGUUUGGCACCUCGAUGUCGGCUCAUCGCAUCCUGGGGCUGUAGUCGGUCCCAAGGGUUGGGCUGUUCGCCCAUUAAAGCGGUACGCGAGCUGGGUUCAGAACGUCGUGAGACAGUUCGGUCCCUAUCCGUCGUGGGCGUAGGAAAUUUGAGAGGAGCUGUCCUUAGUACGAGAGGACCGGGAUGGACGCACCGCUGGUGUACCAGUUGUUCUGCCAAGGGCAUAGCUGGGUAGCUAUGUGCGGAAGGGAUAAGUGCUGAAAGCAUCUAAGCAUGAAGCCCCCCUCAAGAUGAGAUUUCCCAUAGCGUAAGCUAGUAAGAUCCCUGAAAGAUGAUCAGGUUGAUAGGUUCGAGGUGGAAGCAUGGUGACAUGUGGAGCUGACGAAUACUAAUAGAUCGAGGACUUAACC
RNAcentral lists this ribosomal RNA (2919 nucleotides) under Bacillus cereus. RNAcentral describes it as "bacterial LSU rRNA". It matches the Rfam family "Bacterial large subunit ribosomal RNA". Lineage: Bacteria; Bacillati; Bacillota; Bacilli; Caryophanales; Bacillaceae. The record is from RNAcentral. RNAcentral also lists the same sequence under 1 other name.